UUAUCUCCAGUGAACGGGAAAGUAAAUUGGUGGGAGUCUGUACAGAGAGUCCGGGAUUGGUGCAAGCCGGGCCAGAGCCAUCCUUUGAAGAUCACCCGGGAGGUGCCUACUGAAACCCUGGAUUAGGGGAGUAAGUUUGGCCGUUAACAUCGACGUUAAAGGUGUAUCGAGUGUUCAGGUUUUAUCUGUUCAUGAGGGUGGUACCGCGGGUUAUCAGCUCGUCCCUUUU
Molecule: non-coding RNA, 229 nt
Filed under: Desulforamulus aeronauticus
Lineage: Bacteria; Bacillati; Bacillota; Clostridia; Eubacteriales; Peptococcaceae
Description: Desulfotomaculum aeronauticum T-box sequence
Rfam family: T-box leader
About the family: Uncharged tRNA acts as the effector for transcription antitermination of genes in the T-box leader family. T-boxes are found upstream of many aminoacyl-tRNA synthetase genes and some amino acid biosynthetic genes usually in Gram-positive bacteria. The anticodon of a specific tRNA base pairs to a specifier sequence within the T-box motif, and the NCCA acceptor tail of the tRNA base pairs to a conserved bulge in the T-box antiterminator hairpin.
Source: RNAcentral